Molecule: long non-coding RNA, 2928 nt
Organism: Homo sapiens (human)
Lineage: Eukaryota; Metazoa; Chordata; Mammalia; Primates; Hominidae
Gene: KHDC1-AS1
Product: KHDC1 antisense RNA 1
Source: Ensembl
GGCUGCGGCGCGGGAAGCAACCCAGAGCCCUCCUCCCGCCUGCUCUGUGUAGGAGACAGCCUGCGGAGCCCACUGCCGGCGCGCAGAGAGCCCAGCAGCUCUUGAGUCCAGGAAGCAAGGGUGGGAGGAGGGACGAGCCAGUGGCAAUGACCCAGACCCGGACGACCCCCAUUGCUGAGCCAGCGGAGCUGCUUGGGUCCACGAGGCUGGUGUCAGACCUAUUGGGAGACCCUCUGCGUUAGUGAGAAAAACGGCAAGAAAUGGGAGCACGCGGAAACCUCCAAGACUAGAGCCACCAGAUGCCACCGACAGCACGCAGCUGGACCAGCACGGGGGAGGGCCUUCGUGGGUCGAGAGCUCGCUCGGGAGAUAGUUGGUGCUUUUCUUUCAGGAGAAGAAUCCCUGGCGGAGUCUGACCGUUCUCUGGCGCACAGCCCCGGGGGUGGGCACAGCAGCCGCCCCUGCUGAAGGGACUGACGCCUCCGACGACCAGCAGCCAAGUUAAACGCACUGUUCCGUGAGCAGCUUUGUUGGAGACAGCGCGGUUCACAUUCUCUUCCAACGGAGCCGCUGACUGCGGAGCUGGGAGGGGACGUGACAGAACCCAGCCAUCCAACGUCCCCCCACCCCUCCCCAGCUGGGACCUCCGGCUGCUUCCGGGCUGCGCUGGGUGGCGUCAAGGAGCCGCCCCUCUGGGCCGCGUCCCUCCCUCACGCCCUGCACACUGGCCCUGUGUGGCCGGCGGGGCGCCUAAAAGGGCGGAAGGAUGCAGGGGCGGAGGGGGCUCGGGAUUGCACGCCUAGCUCAGACCCCCCAGCCAGGACCCCUCGCGCUGUUGGACACGCCAGCCUCCCGACCCUGCGGCUCCUACGGGAGGUGACAAGGACCCUGCCAACCUGGCCUGAAUGGCCCAGUUUGAUACAGAUCAGGUUUUCAAUGAAUGAGACCGCGGUGUGGUCUAGGCGGAGGGAUGAGAGGAGGGGAUUCUGCUGGGAUAAGUGGGGGCGGGGUAAGGAGGGGAUUCUUUUCCUGGGCUGAGGAGAACGCAGGGACAAAGUACACAGGGGUAGUUGAGUGAGCAGGUGAGGCCCUAGGCUGGUUCCCCACCUUCUCAGGAUCGGAGCCACUCACUUCCUGGUACUCUCUGCAGUCUCCUGGCGUUAAAUAACAUCCCUUUGCUGGAGACUCUGGAUUCACAUCCAUAAUCGCAGCCUCCCCUACUCAUCCCCUCACGCUUCCCAUGAACUAACCUUGAAGGACCCGACCAGAGCCCUGACCUCCGUCCCACACACCUGCUACAUGGAAGGUGUUCUCCACAUCAGUUCAAGGCAGUGUCACUCUUCAGGAUGUUCAGGCUCUAAACCUUGGACUCCUCCUCCAGAUUUCUCUCUCCUUCCUUCUCCUUGUCUCUCCCUUGCACUUACGGUUCACUUUUCCUUCGUAGCUUUGUAGCUCAUUCCCCCUUCCACUUUCCACACCACCUUCUGGUCUGUUAAUUAAAUAUUACCUGGUUUCCACUGACACCUUCCCUGGGUUCCCAAUUGAAAAUCACAACAUCAUCCUCCUCCUCUGCUUUUUUUCUCCAAAUUAUAUCCUCACCCAAUUAUGUGUUAUUCUCAUUAAUCUUGCUUAAUUAAUUAGCAGACAUUAUUAAUGCCUGUUUCCCCUAUCACCACCACUAGACUAUGAACUCCUAAGGACUCCUUCCUUCCACCACUGUUGUACUCGCUUCACCUAGAACUGCUUGGCACAUACAAUGUGCUCCAUAAAUAUUUGUUGAAUGAAAGACUAGACACAACUUAGGAUUCACUCCCCCAUGUGGCAUCCAUAAGCCCUGUAUGCAGGUAAAAUGUCAGUGGGUUGACUAAAUACUGGAAGUGGAAAAAACUUCACCUCUUUGGUUUGCAGUUGUCUAGGAUAUUUAGGCCAAUGGAAAAUCCAGUUUUCCUUAGAAUUAAGCCAGUGCCGCCAGACUUGCCAGUUUACCAUGCUUGUCUGACUGGUCCUCAGCAUGGGUCAUACGUGUCCAAUGAAUUCAAACAAAAUCUUGAGAAGACACGAACCUUGCCCUUCGGCUGGGCGCGGUGGCUCACGCCUGUAAUCCCAGCACUUUGGGAGGCCGAGGCAGGCGGAUCACGAGGUCAGGAGAUCGAGACCAUCCUGGCUAACAUGGUGAAACCCCGUCUCUACUAAAAAUACAAAAAAUUAGCCGAGCGUGGUGGCGGGCGCCUGUAGUCCCAGCUACUCAGGAGGCUGAGGCAGGAGAAUGGCGUGAACCCGGGAGGCGGAGCUUGCAGUGAGUGAGCCGAGAUCGCACCCCUGCACUCCAGCCUGGGCGACAGAGCGAGACUCCGUAAAAAAACAAAAAAAAAACCUUGCCCUUCAUUCCCCAUUUCUAUCAUAAUCUACACAGAGUUUUGAACAGGCAUUUUAAAAUCAACAAUAUAUUAUUUACAAUUUUGUUAGUAUACAUAACUCUAACUCACUGUUAAAAAUCACCUGUCUUUAUAUCCAUUAAAUGACACUUGCAUAUGCUCCAAUUUUUCACUAAUGAUUUCGAGAGCAUUCUGGGACACAGGUGUCUGGACCUUUCAUAAGUAAACAGAAUUCCUAGCGACGGAAUUGUGUAUGCAGUAUGGAAACACCUUAUAAUAUACUGUCCUGGAUAUUGUAAAGGUGAACCAACAUUCUGUUAAAUUUAGAGCAAGUUGCAGAAAACUAUAUGAUACUUAAUUCUGUGCUAUAUGUAUAAUGGUUUCUUAGGGUUUUUUAAAUUUUUUUUUUCUUAGAGACAGUGUCUCACUCUCUUGCCCAGUCUGGAGUACAGUGGCACAAUCACAGCUCACUGCAGCCUCGACCUCCUAGGCUCAAGUGAUACUCCCACCUCACCUCCCAAGUAGCUGGGACUACAGGCAUGUGCCACCAUGU